This is a small RNA of 77 nucleotides. It matches the Rfam family "Makes More Granules Regulator RNA (mmgR)". Rfam says of the family: SuhB later renamed mmgR (makes more granules regulator) was a putative non-coding RNA found multiple times in the Agrobacterium tumefaciens genome and related alpha-proteobacteria. Other non-coding RNAs uncovered in the same analysis include: speF, ybhL, metA, and serC. The record is from Rfam.
CUUCGUUGCCCUCCUUGGGCGUUUCCUCCCUAGACUUGGGCCGCCACGCCAGUGUGCGGCCCUUUUUUCUUGGCCGG